AACGAACGCUGGCGGCAGGCUUAACACAUGCAAGUCGAGCGAGACCUUCGGGUCUAGCGGCGGACGGGUGAGUAACGCGUGGGAACGUGCCCUUCUCUACGGAAUAGCCCCGGGAAACUGGGAGUAAUACCGUAUACGCCCUUUGGGGGAAAGAUUUAUCGGAGAAGGAUCGGCCCGCGUUGGAUUAGGUAGUUGGUGGGGUAAUGGCCCACCAAGCCGACAAUCCAUAGCUGGUUUGAGAGGAUGAUCAGCCACACUGGGACUGAGACACGGCCCAGACUCCUACGGGAGGCAGCAGUGGGGAAUCUUAGACAAUGGGGGCAACCCUGAUCUAGCCAUGCCGCGUGAGUGAUGAAGGCCUUAGGGUUGUAAAGCUCUUUCAGCUGGGAAGAUAAUGACGGUACCAGCAGAAGAAGCCCCGGCUAACUCCGUG
This 433-nucleotide ribosomal RNA is filed under the name uncultured bacterium. RNAcentral describes it as "partial 16S ribosomal RNA". It matches the Rfam family "Bacterial small subunit ribosomal RNA", at positions 29 to 507 of the family's 1533-position model. The record is from RNAcentral.